Molecule: RNA transcript, 1461 nt
Organism: Melopsittacus undulatus (budgerigar)
Lineage: Eukaryota; Metazoa; Chordata; Aves; Psittaciformes; Psittaculidae
Gene: CIST1
Gene name: colon, intestine and stomach enriched 1
Exons: 2
Source: RefSeq, a predicted model, not a curated record
CCCCAGCACCAGAUACACAGGGUGCUGGGUGUUGGCUGUGCCAUGGGGCCAGGCUGGCCCUGCUCCUCCCCUUGUGCAAACAGGGUAAGGCAGAUAAAGGCACUGCCCAGCAAACGUUGCCAUGUCACAUGUGGCCAUGGCUCCGGUGUGUGCCAUAGGGGCCCGGCUGGCACAUGGCCCCUGUGCCGUGGCACGUGCCUACCACUGCCACAUGCUUCUGGGAUCUGCUGUUGGCCAAAUCCCGGUGUUCUGGUCCUCUCUGUGUCUUUGCUGACCAGGUCUCUCCUCCAUGCUCUAGAUACCGGCCAUGGCCAGGAUACAGGCUCAGGGACAGAAGUGCCACUGUCCCCAUCCACUUCAGUCACAGCCACCACCAUGGGGACACCCACUGUGUCUGCAUCUGGCUCUGACACGGGCACGGCCAAUGUGUCUACAACCAGCACAACAGCAGCGUCUACAACACCUCCCAUCCCAGGCACCACAGUGUCCCCAUCCAGCACUCUGGGCUCAACAGUGCUUAAGACAGCUUCUGAGGAUCCAGCUACAACAGCAGAUCCAGCAACACCUACACCUUCAUCCCCCCCAGCCACAGCAUCGUCUCCCUCUGGGAUAACGGGAUCACCUCUGACAAACCCACCCAACACAACCGUGGCGCCAUCCCCAUCCAGGACACCGACCUCGCUGGAAACAACACCUCCAUCCGGCACAACCACAGCACCGUCCCCAUCCCACCCGGCCGUGCCCAGCUCUGCAGCCCCAGGACACCCCCCCAGCUCCACAGUGGCACCGGCCCCAUCCUCACCCGGGUCCUCCAAGCCCCCUCCUGCUCCCAGCUCACCCACACUGAGCCCCAGUCCCACCAGCGCUGGAACAGCACCAGCCAUGGGCACCAGUGCCGUGGUUGGCAGCUCCGGUGAGAGCCAGGCCGGGGGGCACCGUGCAGGCAGGGAGCAUCCAGAUGUGUGCCCAUGGGCACAGCAGCAGCCCUGGGAGCCCCUAAACUCCCUGCUCACAGGAUGGGGCAGAGGGGCUCAGGGGUGCCGGUCCAGAGCCCCCUGUGCUGCCCCAUCCUCCUUGGACCCUAUCCCUAACCCUGGAGGUGAUGUGGGAGCAGGGUGCUGGAUCUGUGAAGGGUGGGACCAGUGCUGGUAGUGGGAGCUGGAGCCAGAUCUGAGCUCCUCUUGCCCCAAGAGCCCCUGUGGUGCUUGGGCACAAGGCUUGGCAAUGCUAUGGGGGGUAACGGGAUGCCCAUUUCCACCCCACAGCGCAGCCCCCCACCAAACCCAGCCCUGCCGUGGUCGCCGUCAUCUGCCUCUUCAUCUGCCUGCUGGUGGGGGGAGCAGCGGUGCUGCUGGUGCGGCUGUCCCGGCACAGGACCCCCCGUUUCCAACACUUGGAUGAGGUGCCCAUGAGCAACCCAGGUGACCCCCCCGCUGCUCAAUAAAGAAGCUGCUGCCUUGG